This 29-nucleotide small RNA is filed under the name Bombyx mori (domestic silkworm). RNAcentral's name for it is "ovarian small RNA-579". The record is from RNAcentral. Lineage: Eukaryota; Metazoa; Arthropoda; Insecta; Lepidoptera; Bombycidae.
UAGCCAGGGUUACAGUCCCCUGGGACGCC